UGCUACCUGCAAAGUCGACGAAGCCUUCGGGCUUAGUGGCGGACGGGUGAGUAACGCGUGAGAAUCUCCCUUCAGGAUGGGGACAACCGUUGGAAACGACGGCUAAUCCCCAAUGUGCCGAGAGGUGAAAGGGUUUCCGCCUGAAGAAGAGCUCGCGUCCGAUUAGUUAGUUGGGGAGGUAAGAGCUCACCAAGGCAGCGAUCGGUAGCUGGUCUGAGAGGAUGAGCAGCCACACUGGGACUGAGACACGGCCCAGACUCCUACGGGAGGCAGCAGUGGGGAAUUUUCCGCAAUGGGCGAAAGCCUGACGGAGCAACGCCGCGUGUGGGAAGAAGGCUCUUGGGCUGUCAACCACUUUUCUCAGGGAAGAAGUUCUGACGGUACCUGAGGAAUCAGCCUCGGCUAACUCCGUGCCAGCAGCCGCGGUAAUACGGAGGAGGCAAGCGUUAUCCGGAAUUAUUGGGCGUAAAGCGUCCGCAGGGGGCGCAUCAAGUCUGCUGUUAAAGGCUGGAGCUUAACUCCGGUAGAGCAGUGGAAACUGGUGCGCUAGAGGGCGACAGGGGUAGAGGGAAUUCCCAGUGUAGCGGUGAAAUGCGUAGAGAUUGGGAAGAACACCGGUGGCGAAAGCGCUCUACUGGGUCGCACCUGACCCUCAGGGACGAAAGCUAAGGUAGCGAAAGGGAUUAGAUACCCCUGUAGUCUUAGCCGUAAACGAUGGAUACU
RNAcentral lists this ribosomal RNA (723 nucleotides) under uncultured bacterium. RNAcentral describes it as "bacterial SSU rRNA". It matches the Rfam family "Bacterial small subunit ribosomal RNA", at positions 49 to 817 of the family's 1533-position model. The record is from RNAcentral.